RNAcentral lists this ribosomal RNA (454 nucleotides) under uncultured Parabacteroides sp. RNAcentral describes it as "partial 16S ribosomal RNA". It matches the Rfam family "Bacterial small subunit ribosomal RNA", at positions 341 to 792 of the family's 1533-position model. The record is from RNAcentral. Lineage: Bacteria; Pseudomonadati; Bacteroidota; Bacteroidia; Bacteroidales; Tannerellaceae.
ACGGAAGGCAGCAGUGAGGAAUAUUGGUCAAUGGAGGCAACUCUGAACCAGCCAUCUCGCGUGAAGGAAUACGGCCCUAUGGGUCUUAAACUUCUUUUAUAGGGGGAUAAAGUGAGGCAUGUAUGCCUUUUUGUAGGUACCCUAUGAAUAAGCAUCGGCUAACUCCGUGCCAGCAGCCGCGGUAAUACGGAGGAUGCGAGCGUUAUCCGGAUUUAUUGGGUUUAAAGGGUGCGCAGGCGGCACGUUAAGUCAGCGGUGAAAUGCAGGGGCUCAACCCCGGCACUGCCGUUGAAACUGGCGAGCUCGAGUACGGAUGAAGUCGGCGGAAUGUGAUGUGUAGCGGUGAAAUGCUUAGAUAUGCCACAGAACUCCGGUAGCGAAGGCAGCUCGCCAGGCCUGCAUUGACGCUCAGGCACGAAAGCGUGGGGAUCGAACAGGAUUAGAUACCCUGGUA